GCCACCUUAGCUUAGUGGUAAAGCGCCAGUCUUGUAAACUGGAGAUCAUGGGUUCGAUCCCCAUAGGAGGCU
RNAcentral lists this transfer RNA (72 nucleotides) under Exocentrus adspersus. RNAcentral's name for it is "tRNA-OTHER". It matches the Rfam family "tRNA". Rfam says of the family: Transfer RNA (tRNA) molecules are approximately 80 nucleotides in length. Their secondary structure includes four short double-helical elements and three loops (D, anti-codon, and T loops). Lineage: Eukaryota; Metazoa; Arthropoda; Insecta; Coleoptera; Cerambycidae. The record is from RNAcentral.